This 449-nucleotide ribosomal RNA is filed under the name uncultured bacterium. RNAcentral describes it as "bacterial SSU rRNA". It matches the Rfam family "Bacterial small subunit ribosomal RNA", at positions 330 to 794 of the family's 1533-position model. The record is from RNAcentral.
GCCAGACCCCUACGGGAGGCAGCAGUGGGGAAUAUUGCACAAUGGGGGAAACCCUGAUGCAGCGACGCCGCGUGAGUGAGGAAGUAUUUCGGUAUGUAAAGCUCUAUCAGCAGGGAAGAAAAUGACGGUACCUGACUAAGAAGCCCCGGCUAACUACGUGCCAGCAGCCGCGGUCAUACGUAGGAUCCGAGCAUUAUCCGGAGUGACUGGGUGUAAAGAGUUGCGUAGGUGGCAUAAUAAGUAGCUAGUGAAAUCUGGUGGCUCAACCAUUCAGACUAUUGGCUAAACUGUUAAGCUCGAGACCGUUAGGGGCAUCUGGAAUUUCUAGUGUAGGAGUGAAAUCCGUAGAUAUUAGAAGGAACACCAAUAGCGUAGGCAGGAUGCUGGGACGGUUCUGACACUAAGGCACGAAAGCGUAGGGAGCAAACGGGAUUAGAUACCCGUGUAAU